UACGGAGGAUCCAAGCGUUAUCCGGAUUUAUUGGGUUUAAAGGGUCCGUAGGCGGGCUUUUAAGUCAGUGGUGAAAUCCCGGAGCUCAACUCCGGAACUGCCAUUGAUACUGAAAGUCUUGAAUUUAGUUGAGGUGGGCGGAAUACGUUAUGUAGCGGUGAAAUGCAUAGAUAUAACGUAGAACACCGAUUGCGAAGGCAGCUCACUAAGCUAACAUUGACGCUGAUGGACGAAAGCGUGGGGAGCGAACAGG
RNAcentral lists this ribosomal RNA (253 nucleotides) under uncultured prokaryote. RNAcentral's name for it is "partial 16S ribosomal RNA". It matches the Rfam family "Bacterial small subunit ribosomal RNA", at positions 524 to 776 of the family's 1533-position model. The record is from RNAcentral.